Molecule: ribosomal RNA, 1060 nt
Filed under: Aspergillus cejpii
Lineage: Eukaryota; Fungi; Ascomycota; Eurotiomycetes; Eurotiales; Aspergillaceae
Description: eukaryotic LSU rRNA
Rfam family: Eukaryotic large subunit ribosomal RNA (bases 462-1060)
Source: RNAcentral
CCUUGUUGCUUCGGCGGGCCCGCCGCCUGACGGCCGCCGGGGAGGCCUCCGCGCCCCCGGGCCCGCGCCCGCCGAAGACGCCCACGUGAACUCUGCCCUGAAGGAUUGCAGUCUGAGUCGAUUAUCAUAAUCAGUUAAAACUUUCAACAACGGAUCUCUUGGUUCCGGCAUCGAUGAAGAACGCAGCGAAAUGCGAUAACUAAUGUGAAUUGCAGAAUUCAGUGAAUCAUCGAGUCUUUGAACGCACAUUGCGCCCCCUGGUAUUCCGGGGGGCAUGCCUGUCCGAGCGUCAUUGCUGCCCUCAAGCACGGCUUGUGUGUUGGGCCGCCGUCCCCGCCUCCCCGGGGACGGGCCCGAAAGGCAGCGGCGGCACCGCGUCCGGUCCUCGAGCGUAUGGGGCUUCGUCACCCGCUCUGCAGGCCCGGCCGGCGCCGGCCGACCACCAACCCACUUCUUAAGGUUGACCUCGGAUCAGGUAGGGAUACCCGCUGAACUUAAGCAUAUCAAUAAGCGGAGGAAAAGAAACCAACAGGGAUUGCCCCAGUAACGGCGAGUGAAGCGGCAAGAGCUCAAAUUUGAAAGCUGGCCCCCCCGGGGUCCGCGUUGUAAUUUGCAGAGGAUGCUUCGGAUGCGGCCCCCGUCUAAGUGCCCUGGAAGGGGCCGUCAUAGAGGGUGAGAAUCCCGUCUGGGACGGGGUGUCCGCGUCCGUGUGAAGCUCCUUCGACGAGUCGAGUUGUUUGGGAAUGCAGCUCUAAAUGGGUGGUAAAUUUCAUCUAAAGCUAAAUACUGGCCGGAGACCGAUAGCGCACAAGUAGAGUGAUCGAAAGAUGAAAAGCACUUUGAAAAGAGAGUUAAACAGCACGUGAAAUUGUUGAAAGGGAAGCGUUUGCGACCAGACUCGCCCGCGGGGUUCAGCCGGCACUCGUGCCGGUGUACUUCCCCGCGGGCGGGCCAGCGUCGGUUUGGGCGGCCGGUCAAAGGCCCUCGGAAUGUGUCACCCCCCGGGGUGUCUUAUAGCCGAGGGUGCAAUGCGGCCUGCCCGGACCGAGGAACGCGCUCC